Molecule: ribosomal RNA, 493 nt
Filed under: uncultured bacterium
Lineage: Bacteria
Description: bacterial SSU rRNA
Rfam family: Bacterial small subunit ribosomal RNA
Source: RNAcentral
GAUGAACGCUAGCGGGAGGCCUAAUACAUGCAAGUCGAGCGGUAGAGUGACUUCGGUUGCUUGAGAGCGGCGAACGGGUGAGUAACGCGUACACAAUCUACCUUUAAGAGGGGAAUAGCCCUGGGAAACUGGGAUUAAUGCCCCAUGGCAUCACGAGACGGCAUCGUUUUGUGAUUAAAGCUGAGGUGCUUAGAGAUGAGUGUGCGUCUGAUUAGCUAGUUGGUGCGGUAACGGCGCACCAAGGCGACGAUCAGUAGGGGGCGUGAGAGCGUGGACCCCCACACGGGUACUGAGACACGGACCCGACUCCUACGGGAGGCAGCAGUAAGGAAUAUUGGUCAAUGGAGGAAACUCUGAACCAGCCAUCCCGCGUGCAGGAAGAAUGCCCUAUGGGUUGUAAACUGCUUUUAUCUGGGAAGAAAGUCGGGAUUUAUCCUGAUCUGACGGUACCAGAGGAAUAAGCACCGGCUAACUCCGUGCCAGCAGCCGACGG